Molecule: non-coding RNA, 466 nt
Organism: Cinara cedri
Lineage: Eukaryota; Metazoa; Arthropoda; Insecta; Hemiptera; Aphididae
Source: the annotation of a GenBank genome assembly
ACAGACCUUAGACCAUGCAACCAAUUCGGGUUGCAUUAAAUAUAUUGAAAUUUUAAAAAUUUAGGAUUCCAUUCCACGUCGGGUGUAGGACUGCAAACAAAAAUCAAACGUGGGACGAUCAUCUCCGACGUAGGACGGCCUAUACGGUCUCGUUAUAACGCGCGCAGCGUCUCACGGGAACAGGCACGCGGAAAUCACGUGGGAAAAUUUUAGAAGUGGGCCGAUACUUGGCGUAAGUCGUUGUUUUCUUUCGAUAUUCGACCCGAUAUUUUCGUGGCGAAAAAUGUCUAUUGUGUGAGAAAAAUAAGCAUUAACAAAUAGCGCGUGAUAUCAAUAUUAACUUUUUCACGGGGUUUUCGAUUUCAAACGUCGCGUAUCGGUACUGCAUACCAGGGGCGGCCAACUUUAAGAGACUUGUAAUCGACCCCUCCGGUCGCGACCUCCGGAGUUUUUCUAGGCUAUCGCG